Molecule: ribosomal RNA, 839 nt
Filed under: uncultured bacterium
Lineage: Bacteria
Description: bacterial SSU rRNA
Rfam family: Bacterial small subunit ribosomal RNA
Source: RNAcentral
GCAGUCGAACGGCAGCACAGGAGAGCUUGCUCUCUGGGUGGCGAGUGGCGGACGGGUGAGGAAUACAUCGGAAUCUACUUUUUCGUGGGGGAUAACGUAGGGAAACUUACGCUAAUACCGCAUACGACCUACGGGUGAAAGCAGGGGAUCUUCGGACCUUGCGCGAUUGAAUGAGCCGAUGUCGGAUUAGCUAGUUGGCGGGGUAAAGGCCCACCAAGGCGACGAUCCGUAGCUGGCCUGAGAGGAUGAUCAGCCACACUGGAACUGAGACACGGUCCAGACUCCUACGGGAGGCAGCAGUGGGGAAUAUUGGACAAUGGGCGCAAGCCUGAUCCAGCCAUACCGCGUGGGUGAAGAAGGCCUUCGGGUUGUAAAGCCCUUUUGUUGGGAAAGAAAUCCAGCUGGCUAAUACCCGGUUGGGAUGACGGUACCCAAAGAAUAAGCACCGGCUAACUUCGUGCCAGCAGCCGCGGUAAUACGAAGGGUGCAAGCGUUACUCGGAAUUACUGGGCGUAAAGCGUGCGUAGGUGGUCGUUUAAGUCCGUUGUGAAAGCCCUGGGCUCAACCUGGGAACUGCAGUGGAUACUGGGCGACUAGAAUGUGGUAGAGGGUAGCGGAAUUCCUGGUGUAGCAGUGAAAUGCGUAAGAUCAGGAGGAACAUCCAUGGCGAAGGCAGCUACCUGGACCAACAUUGACACUGAGGCACGAAAGCGUGGGGAGCAAACAGGAUUAAUACCCUGGUAGUCCACGCCCUAAACGAUGCGAACUGGAUGUUGGGUGCAAUUUGGCACGCAGUAUCGAAGCUAACGCGUUAAGUUCGCCGCCUGGGGAGUACGGUC